AGCUGCUACGGCAGUGAAGUCAUUGAUGCCAUGCUUCCAGGAAAAGCCUCUAAGCUUCAGAUAGUCAGGAAUCGUACCCCAAACCGACACAGGUGGUCGGGUAGAGAAUACCAAGGCGCUUGAGAGAACUCGGGUGAAGGAACUAGGCAAAAUGGUACCGUAACUUCGGGAGAAGGUACGCUCUUGAUGGUGAAGUCCCUCGCGGAUGGAGCUGACGAGAGUCGCAGAUACCAGGUGGCUGCAACUGUUUAUUAAAAACACAGCACUGUGCAAAAUCGCAAGAUGACGUAUACGGUGUGACGCCUGCCCGGUGCCGGAAGGUUAAUUGAUGGGGUUAGCGCAAGCGAAGCUCUUGAUCGAAGCCCCGGUAAACGGCGGCCGUAACUAUAACGGUCCUAAGGUAGCGAAAUUCCUUGUCGGGUAAGUUCCGACCUGCACGAAUGGCGUAAUGAUGGCCACGCUGUCUCCACCCGAGACUCAGUGAAAUUGAAAUCGCUGUGAAGAUGCAGUGUACCCGCGGCUAGACGGAAAGACCCCGUGAACCUUUACUACAGCUUGGCACUGAACAUUGAACCUACAUGUGUAGGAUAGGUGGGAGGCUAUGAAGACGUGACGCCAGUUGCGUUGGAGCCGUCCUUGAAAUACCACCCUUGUAUGUUUGAUGUUCUAACUUAGACCCAUUAUCUGGGUUGAGGACAGUGCCUGGUGGGUAGUUUGACUGGGGCGGUCUCCUCCCAAAGAGUAACGGAGGAGCACGAAGGUGGGCUAAUCACGGUUGGACAUCGUGAGGUUAGUGCAAUGGCAUAAGCCCGCUUAACUGCGAGAAUGACGGUUCGAGCAGGUGCGAAAGCAGGUCAUAGUGAUCCGGUGGUUCUGUAUGGAAGGGCCAUCGCUCAACGGAUAAAAGGUACUCCGGGGAUAACAGGCUGAUACCGCCCAAGAGUUCAUAUCGACGGCGGUGUUUGGCACCUCGAUGUCGGCUCAUCACAUCCUGGGGCUGAAGUCGGUCCCAAGGGUAUGGCUGUUCGCCAUUUAAAGUGGUACGCGAGCUGGGUUUAGAACGUCGUGAGACAGUUCGGUCCCUAUCUGCCGUGGGCGUUGGAAGAUUGAAGGGG
This 1115-nucleotide ribosomal RNA is filed under the name Vibrio cholerae. Its description in RNAcentral is "partial 23S ribosomal RNA". It matches the Rfam family "Bacterial large subunit ribosomal RNA", at positions 1572 to 2670 of the family's 2925-position model. Lineage: Bacteria; Pseudomonadati; Pseudomonadota; Gammaproteobacteria; Vibrionales; Vibrionaceae. The record is from RNAcentral.